RNAcentral lists this ribosomal RNA (234 nucleotides) under uncultured Staphylococcus sp. Its description in RNAcentral is "partial 16S ribosomal RNA". It matches the Rfam family "Bacterial small subunit ribosomal RNA", at positions 106 to 334 of the family's 1533-position model. Lineage: Bacteria; Bacillati; Bacillota; Bacilli; Caryophanales; Staphylococcaceae. The record is from RNAcentral.
GUUAGUAACACGUGGAUAACCUACCUAUAAGACUGGGAUAACUUCGGGAAACCGGAGCUAAUACCGGAUAAUAUAUCGAACCGCAUGGUUCAAUAGUGAAAGACGGUUUUGCUGUCACUUAUAGAUGGAUCCGCGCCGCAUUAGCUAGUUGGUAAGGUAACGGCUUACCAAGGCGACGAUGCGUAGCCGACCUGAGAGGGUGAUCGGCCACACUGGAACUGAGACACGGUCCAG